RNAcentral lists this small RNA (912 nucleotides) under Oryza sativa Japonica Group (Japanese rice). RNAcentral's name for it is "sRNA Os02g0142850". Lineage: Eukaryota; Viridiplantae; Streptophyta; Magnoliopsida; Poales; Poaceae. The record is from RNAcentral.
GAACAUACCUUUGACACAUGCUAAGAGGCAGCAGAGUUUUUAUGUGUCUAGGUGCCAUGCAUAUAACUAGAUAAUAAGUGCAUUCCAAAUAAAGCAGAAGUGUACAUCAUAUUCUCUGCACACCUAAUCAUAGUCCCUGCCAAUUGGUUAACAUCCUUUUCCCCGCGAGAGCAUGGAAGAAAAUAUGAAAAUUAUUCGCUACCAUGCAUCGACAAGUACCUGCCAAAGAAAAGUUAGAUCAAUAUAGGAAUUGGAGCAACCACAAAAUAUAACCUAAUAAGCAGACAGUACCUGCAGGCAGAGCAAACUUUAGCUCAAUUGUAUUUGAUUGAUUCAGCAACUGUUGAAUUCAAGCACAUAUCGGCAAGCCAUGUAAUAUAACAAACAUUUGUAACGUUCCAGACACAUCAAGACAACUCUUCAGUCAACUGGACAGAUCAAACACCAACAAGUCAUAAAGGGAUGACCAACCAACUGGGCAAAAAUCCAUUGUUUUGAGUCUGCAAAUUAAUACUGCAAUAGGAAUAACAAUAAUCAUGAGAAGAGUGAUUAGUGAAGCGCAUUUUAGAUACCUUCAAGCAGGCGUUACAUUCCCCUUCUUGCUGAGGAGCUUUGCUGCCAGAGGAGAGGAACUGCCGUGAGAUACUCACCGCAAGCCUCCCAGGACCUAGGAAGCCACAACCGCUGCUGCUGCCAUGGUCAGCUUGGUCCUACCCUCUAGUGGUGACCUCCCACUGCCACCAGGCCUGCUUCUUCUCUCCCCCUAGGGUCCCUACGGCAACCAUCACAGCAAGCUGCUGCAACCACCUUUGCUGGUGCCAUCCGGUAUCAUAAACUCUUGGAGGACAGAGGAAGCAUCUGUGCACACUCAACAAACAAACAAACACACACGCACACGCACACACACACACC